CUGCUUCGUCUUUCUUUACUUUUAUGUAAACGCUUCCUAACCCGAAGCCGCCGACGAGUGCUUGCAUCGUUCUUGCCAGGAAAAGCUGCUUUGUUCGGUAAAUUAUCUUCCAAAAUCUUGAACAGAGGAAUAUUAUCUCAACUAGGCUUAAAAUCCAUGAACUGCACACCAGGUGUUUAUUAAUAUUACUCUGUUCUUUUUCUCGUUGAAGUUGUAGUCCAUGGAAUCCUUCUUCUGGCCAAGUCAAUGAGGAAUCUUCUUCUUUUAUGCUAGAGAUGUGAUUUUGGGGUUUUGAAUUAUCCAGUGAGCCUAUAAUUUCCAUGGCGAACUCUAGUGCAUUCAGUUGCUGUGGAAUCUGAAAACCCAGAUUACAAAUAGUUUCUUCAAGCAACUCAAGGCUACCAUUAAAGACAACUGACCCGCCAGACAGAAUCAAGAAUUCAGAGAUAUAACCAAGAAUUCUAUAGCUUGGUUGGUGAAUAGAUAACACUACAGUUGUUUGCUUUGUUUUUGCCAUUGAAGCUAAUAGCUCAAUCACCUGAAGUGCAGAGGUGCUGUCAAGGCCUGAAGUUGGUUCAUCCAAGACUAACAAUGGAGGUUCCUGAAUCAUAUCAAUGGCAAUGGAAACCCUUUUCUUUUCUCCACCUGAGAUGCCUCUGUUCUCUUCAUCUCCAACAAAGCUAUCAGCAACAUGGGUAAGGCCAAGCUCUUGUAUCAAUCUCUCUACUCUCUCUUCUUUCUCUUUUGAGCUGAUUUCUUUGAGCCUGAACUUUGCACCAUACAUCAGAGUUUCCUUCACAGUGAGCAAAGGAAGUAAGUCAUCUUCUUGUGCUACAAAUCCACAUAUCUUUCUCAAAUGAGCAGGACUUGUCACCUUAUGACGAUUGAUGGAGAUAGCACUGGCAUCGAAUUCGCUGUCUUUUACUCUGCCGGAGAUUAUCCUGAGAAGACUUGAUUUUCCUG
This 963-nucleotide long non-coding RNA is filed under the name Carica papaya (papaya). RNAcentral's name for it is "long non-coding RNA (CPAP_LNC005254)". The record is from RNAcentral. Lineage: Eukaryota; Viridiplantae; Streptophyta; Magnoliopsida; Brassicales; Caricaceae.